AACAAUUAAAAACCAAUUGUUCAGAGAACAAUUGAAGGUCUUUCCACCAAUAAGGAUCUAUUUUGAUAUGAAAAUAUUAAAAUUCAGUUGAAAAUGUCAGUUCCUAUGGCUUAAUGAUGUAUAAAUAUGAAUUUUGGGCAAAGGUCAAAAUCUAGAACGUCAAAUUUACUGAUGACCUUGACCUAUAUUUCAAGGUCAUAAACCAGGGACCCCAAAUAAAAAGAUCCUAGGUCUGUAAUAUGUAUAGUUAAUGAGUUAUAUCACUUUACGUUUAAUUCUUAAUAUAGGAGGGGCAAAAACUUCCAUUUUAUGUCUACACA
This 320-nucleotide long non-coding RNA is filed under the name Mytilus galloprovincialis (Mediterranean mussel). Lineage: Eukaryota; Metazoa; Mollusca; Bivalvia; Mytilida; Mytilidae. The record is from RNAcentral.